Molecule: transfer RNA, 73 nt
Filed under: Coprococcus eutactus
Lineage: Bacteria; Bacillati; Bacillota; Clostridia; Lachnospirales; Lachnospiraceae
Description: tRNA-Gly
Rfam family: tRNA
About the family: Transfer RNA (tRNA) molecules are approximately 80 nucleotides in length. Their secondary structure includes four short double-helical elements and three loops (D, anti-codon, and T loops).
Source: RNAcentral
GCGCGAGUGGCUCAGCGGUGGAGCAUCUCCUUGCCAAGGAGAGGGUCGCGGGUUCGAUUCCCGUCUCGCGCUC